AUGGAUGUGAUGAUUAUUUCCCCAGAUGAUCGACGCUGAACAUACUGAGCGAUUUUUUCUCUUUCGAGAAACCAAGCCAAUAAAUCUGAUCCAU
Non-coding RNA from Glycine soja, 94 nucleotides. The record is from Rfam. NCBI's taxonomy places the organism in Eukaryota, Viridiplantae, Streptophyta, Magnoliopsida, Fabales, Fabaceae.